GAGGAUUAAAUCUCUUGACUAGUUAUAUCUUUCUCCCUUAUUAGAACCUGCUUGUUUGCAUGAUCUCCUACUCUUUUUACUUUCAAAAACUAUAUGAUCUAAACAUCAUAUUUUUGUGUUUCAUUUGUGUAUUUUAAUUGACAGCCUUUUAAUUUUAACAAAAAAAAAAAAAAAAAAAUCUGAUAACAGAAGGUAGUCGCAGACUCGGAGUGAGUGGCAUUCUUAAAUCAUAUGAUACUUUCCACCAAAAGGAAUAUUAUUAUGAUACUUGGCUAGCUUCAAUAUGGG
Molecule: long non-coding RNA, 288 nt
Filed under: Capsella rubella
Lineage: Eukaryota; Viridiplantae; Streptophyta; Magnoliopsida; Brassicales; Brassicaceae
Description: long non-coding RNA (CRUB_LNC004460)
Source: RNAcentral